AAUCGGUUCGUUGACUUAUACAUUAAAUAUUUUUUUAGUUUUAAAAAAUACGAGUAAAAUAAAUGUAACAAUAUUUCUAAAAAAACCAUUUUAAAAAUACUAAUUUAAUUGAAAUAAUACAAUAUUUAAAUAAAUGAACUAAAUUUAAAAAUUUAUGAAAUUACCAAAAGCCCCCUUUUCCUCUUUUCUCUUUUUCUUCUUCUGGGCCUAAUAGAUGUUGGGCUGCCAAAUUUGGGCUGUCAAAAGGACUGGGCUGAAGCUGCUGGGCUGCUGAGCACUGGGCCUGACGCUGGACUGGGCUGGCCUGCUUCUUGUUGGGCUGCGCUGGGCUUGGUUUGGGCCUGCUUUGUUCUUUUUUGCUAUUCUGUUUUUUUUUUGCUGUUUUGUUUUUUUUUUGGGCGUUUUGUUUUUUUUUGGGGCUGCUGGGUGUUGGAUCGGGUCGGGUCGGUGCGGGUCAACCCGACUGGGUUUAAAAAAAUAUUUUUUUUUUCUUCUUUUUUUUUUUCCCUUCCUUUCUUCUCUCUUUUUCUUCUUUUUUCUUCCUUUUUCCUUCCUCUUCGGGGCUGAACUCUAGCCCAACGCCGCCGCCGACGCCUCCUCCGUCCGGUGUUGCGGUGGCCGACACGACUCCCUUCUCCUCUCUUUCUCCCUUUCUUUCUUCUCUUCUUCCUUUUUGGUUGCUAUUUUUGCUUGCUGUUUUUGUUUCUUCUUUUUGUUUUUUCUUUGUGCUUUGCUUUGUAGGUGCAACGGUGGUUAGAAGAAUGCAAGGCACGGCGGUGGGCACGGUGGUGGUGAAGGCGGUGGUUUGGAGAGCGCGACGGUGGUGAGGGCCCUUUCGUUGCUCUUUUUUGUUUGAUUUUUUGCUGCUGUUUUCUUAGUUUUCUUUCUUUCUUUUUGCAAAAAAAAGAACCCCCCAUUCACUCUCCAUUUCUUCCCCUUUUAAUCUCUCCAAUUUGUCUUCUUUCUAAUUGUUUUCAGGUGGUAGAGGAGCCAUCAUGGCCUAGGGAGGCUGCUGGAGUAGCCCGGCUGGGGAGGGGUAGGCUCGGCAGUUGCUUGCGGCGAUUUGACAAGUCCAGAAGGACUAAAUUGCAUGGGAUGCAAAGUUUCUGGGGCAAAAGCGUAAUUUUAGCAAAAUACGGGCCAAGAUGUAAUUUCUUGAGAGUUUAGGGGUCAAAGUGAAAUUUUGAGAAAGUAUAAGGGUCGAAAUGUAAUUUUAUAAAGUUUUGGGGUAAAAAUGUAAAUUUUAGAAAAUUUUGGGGUCAAAAUGUAAAUUUUGAAAAGUACAGGGGUUAAAAUGCAAAAAAUAAAAAAAAUUCUUUUUUUUUCAAACACGAAAUUAAUCCCGGACAAAAUUCAGUGAUU
Molecule: long non-coding RNA, 1362 nt
Filed under: Gossypium barbadense (sea-island cotton)
Lineage: Eukaryota; Viridiplantae; Streptophyta; Magnoliopsida; Malvales; Malvaceae
Description: long non-coding RNA (GBAR_LNC022146)
Source: RNAcentral